This 245-nucleotide ribosomal RNA is filed under the name uncultured sludge bacterium H2. Its description in RNAcentral is "partial 16S ribosomal RNA". It matches the Rfam family "Bacterial small subunit ribosomal RNA", at positions 524 to 768 of the family's 1533-position model. The record is from RNAcentral. Lineage: Bacteria; Pseudomonadati; Verrucomicrobiota.
UACAGAGGUCCCAAGCGUUGUUCGGAUUCACUGGGCGUAAAGGGUGCGUAGGUGGUCGGGUAAGUCCGAUGUGAAAUCUCCAGGCUCAACCUGGAAACUGCAUUGGAUACUAUCCGGCUAGAGGGUCGGAGGGGAGACUGGAAUUCUCGGAGUAGCAGUGAAAUGCGUAGAUAUCGAGAGGAACACCAGUGGCGAAGGCGAGUCUCUGGACAGUUCCUGACACUGAGGCACGAAGGCCAGGGGAG